CGGCUCAAGAUCUCCAACUCCAAAGUGACCAAAGCUGUGCUCUGCCCUGCAGCUCCUCAGCAUUACACCUCCGUUCUGCUCCAGGGGCCUGGGGAGGGAAAAAUCAUUUGAAACUAAGAAGAUGUGCUGUUUGCUUUGGGUAAUUACAAGCGAGCUUUGGAUUCUUCAAGCAAUGAAAAGUGUGCAAUGGGAGUGGGUCCUAUCCGGGUGUGGUGGUGAUGGGUUGGUGAUUGGACUGGAUGAUCUUAGUGGCCUUUCCAACCUUUACGAUCUCCAGCACCGCUCCCUCCAUCCCACGCCCGCCCCGUGCACCUGGGCACGUGGUUGCAUUUCCUAUAGAGGAACUUCAUGGCGCUUUGGGCUCAGUGAGAGGAGAAUGCUGCUGACAUUUUCUUAUCUCAAGUUACAAUUUCCUGUGAGCAUCACAGUGAUAAAACAUGGGAGAUGUGCAGCUCGCGUGGAGAGAGUGCAUCGUGCACGGCACCGGGGGGCAGAGGAUGCCCGCGGGAUGCGGCUCUCGGUGCCGUCAUUGUUGUCCCCCCGCCUGUCUGCAGGGAAUUUUAUGGGGAGGGCUUUUGGCGGGGCGAGGAGGAGGAGGAGGAGGGGAGCUUUCCCCCAAAGCACCCAGGAAUCUGUCAAAAGAGGGACAGAAAAGAGAAGAAGAAGAAGAAGGGAGACAGAGAGUGGGAACGUCAAGGACCCCUGACUAAUGAAUAGCAAGUUUGCCCUUGAACCUCCCUGGGCUUUGCCAUUCCCAGGCUCCAAACAAGGGCUGAUGCAUGCUUGGGCCCAGCUGCAGGGGGACCGGGCUAUGGUUCAUCUCAGACACUUUGACAGCCCGGGCCUUUUCCCCGCAUAGCUCAGACUCGCCUAACUACUCCCCUGGCAACAGCUCAGUGCAGGAACCUGCGCGGAGGCCCUGCCUGCUGCAUACAGAAGCAUGAAAGACGCGGGGAGCGCCAGCCGUAGGGGUCUGCACUGAAUGGAUGGAGCAAACAGGCACUGCAGACGGCUGCAAACACCCGACGGCUCCAAAGCACGACCCAGGAACGUUCCCAC
Molecule: long non-coding RNA, 1059 nt
Filed under: Gallus gallus (chicken)
Lineage: Eukaryota; Metazoa; Chordata; Aves; Galliformes; Phasianidae
Description: lncRNA (ENSGALG00010020665.1)
Source: RNAcentral